Molecule: non-coding RNA, 309 nt
Organism: Biomphalaria pfeifferi
Lineage: Eukaryota; Metazoa; Mollusca; Gastropoda; Planorbidae
Source: the annotation of a GenBank genome assembly
GAAUCUAAACAUGCAGGUAGCCUAUAUGUAGAGACACUAGCUAAUAUGUUUACCAUAAUUAGAUUAAGGGUACAUUAGAACUAAUACCUUUUUGUUUCAUUGUGUAAAUUUUGUUAUUUAACUGCUAUCAUAUUAAAAUAAUGCAAGAUGCACACACUUUUCAGAAUUCUUAUUCAUUUGCACUCAUUUUAAAACUACACAAAAAUAAUUCACAAAAAUAAAUUGUCAUAGAUUCUAAUUAUUUGGAGAAAAAAAAGUAAAACCUCUCAAAAGAUUUCUUAUUCACAGUCACAUUAAUUGUUCUGAGCA